CAGUCGCCGCGGGAAUACGGAGGGUGCAAGCGUUAAUCGGAAUUACUGGGCGUAAAGCGUGCGUAGGCGGUUCGUUAAGUCUGUUGUGAAAGCCCCGGGCUCAACCUGGGAAUGGCAAUGGAUACUGGCGAGCUAGAGUUUGUCAGAGGAUGGUGGAAUUCCCGGUGUAGCGGUGAAAUGCGUAGAGAUCGGGAGGAACAUCAGUGGCGAAGGCGGCCAUCUGGGACAACACUGACGCUGAGGCACGAAAGCGUGGGGAGCAAACAGGAUUAGAUACCCGUGUAGUCCCUGUCUCUUAUAC
RNAcentral lists this ribosomal RNA (301 nucleotides) under uncultured bacterium. Its description in RNAcentral is "partial 16S ribosomal RNA". It matches the Rfam family "Bacterial small subunit ribosomal RNA", at positions 509 to 807 of the family's 1533-position model. The record is from RNAcentral.